Long non-coding RNA from Pseudomyrmex gracilis, 1774 nucleotides. RefSeq lists it as uncharacterized. Lineage: Eukaryota; Metazoa; Arthropoda; Insecta; Hymenoptera; Formicidae. The transcript has 2 exons. The record is from RefSeq and is a predicted model, not a curated record.
AUGCGCGCAAUUCAUUUUUGUUUUGUUUUUUUUUUUUUUUUUUUUAUCAUUGCUCUCAAUCCCGUGAAUGUGCCAUGUGCAUCUUAUCGCGUGUUUUUUUCGCGAUGCGUGCGUGUUCAAAUUUUUUGUAUCAAAAAAAAAAAAAAAACUGCGAAUAUAUUUUGUGAUUCAAGUGGAGCAACAAAGUUCUCACCAAGUUGAUGACUUUACAGUGUUGCGUUGGGAAACAAUAAUUUCCCAACCACAAAUAAAACGAAAAUAACAGCUCGAAAGGACUUUCCGAUACGAAAGUUUUAUAUACGUUUGGACGAAAAAAAAAACCUUAUCUCUUUUUAACGUCUCUGAUGAUGGAAACGAUAACGCACCGACUCUUUUUUGUAAUCCGACAAUUCGUAUUAUCUAAUCGCGAAGCGUAUCGAGAGAUAAUAGAUAAAGUUCAUAUCUUUAUCAAUUAUUACACGCAUAACGUUAAACCAGAUGCAAUCAAUUUGUUGUUUUUAUUUAUGUUGGAAAACACUUUUUAUAUUGACUCAUGCAUGAUGCAUUGUUUGUUUGUUUGCUUGUUCGCCUCGCGGAUUAAGUAAAAUCUCGGUGUAACAAUCGCGCGACCUUCUUACAAAUUUUUUGUGGAUAAAAAAGAAAAAUUUGCAACACAAUUUUUUGAACUCUCUGUACGUGUGUAAUAAUGUUGGCUUAUUUCGGAAGAUAAACGACGUGAUUCGGUUUCUGGCGGUUUAUUUCGAUAAGUUAUCGAUUUCUCAAUGUCGUUUCGCGCGAUGAUAAAUUGAAGAUAUGUACAACAACGACGACGACGACGACGACGACGAUGACGAUUAAUUCGAACAUACCGGAUUUAUCGUGUCACCGAUGCGUAAUAUUUACGAGCACGUAAUAUAUUCAGCUUUCCAAUUGUUUUCAAUGUGAAAAUUAAUCGAAUCAAUUAGUCGAUUUAAUAAACUCAAUUACUGCAAAGUGGAAUGUGUACGACGGGUAGAUUGUAGAAUAAGCAAGAGUUGUACAUACAAAAGCAAUAUAUUUGCUUAUAUUUGAAUUUUUCUGAGACACACACACACACACACAUGCGAUUCUCGUGAUAUUGUAAUUAUAUUCAGUUUUCAGCACCGAACAAUGCGCGCGCCGCGAUUUCUUUUCACGGAAUCAUAUUCCACAAUGAAACCUAUAACAAUUCCGAUUGUCUGCAAGACGCAUAACGUAGUGUGCGGGAAAAAACAGAUCGCCAAUAAAAAAAAACAAAAAAAAAAUUGUUAAAUAUCGCUAAAACGUGACACGUCAGAUUGACAAAAGUAGUAAAAAUAGAGCAAGUUGAUUUCACGAGCCGUGUGUGUAUAUUUAUAUCCUUUGUAAUUUUAGCCAACCGCCUUGUCGCAAGAAGUCGGUGCGAACAAUGCACAACGCACGUACGUGCGUUAAAAACACGCGAAAUAUUUGUAACAAAAAUGAUAUAAUUUACUUUAUGCGAAAGAAAUAACGACGAUGAAACAAAUCAAUGUGUAUGGAAACAAGUAACAUCUCGACGUUACACUGUGUGUGAUACCGCAAACAACGACCUCAAUCCGAACGCGAUGUUUUUCCUUUCACUUUUCAUUCCCUUCGUUUUUUUUUUUUUUUUUUAUCUGGUUUCCAGCACGAGGAAACGUUCAACGUGCGCCACGUGAAAAAUCACAUUAGCAUACAUUUGACAUACAUUUGACGAGGAAGGUUUUGAAAAGUAGAGCGUGAUAAACGUGACUUGCAAAUCUAAAACAAAAAAAAA